CGGAAGUGGUGCUUCUGUGGGUACCGAGUGUAUCCCCACUAAGGGGACUCCUUGGUUCAAAUUCUUCUGUAGUCGCAGUAGUGAGGAGAAGAAGCAAACUGGAUCUGGAGACAACUAUUUGCCAUCAUGACCCCUGAAGAGGAAUGGAACACAGAGUGGAAGCUGAUAGAGCCCCGUGUCACAGUACUCGAUGGUGUGGACAGACACAUGACAAAGUAUAGGAGUAGGGAGGUCGAUUCAUUCCACAUCUCAGGAUGGGGUUUCACUACGUAGCCAGGAACUCCAUACACAGUAUAUGUUGCUGAAGUGAACAUUCUGCCCCUGGAACUCUUAAGAGAUAAAUUACUGUUCUUUACAAGUUACCCAGCUUCAGAAGUUCUGUUGCAGCAAUACCAAACGGACUGAAAGUUCCUGAGCAGCUUGAACAAACUAAUGGAGCCUAAGGAGGGAACCGUGGGGAGCCUGCUGAUGGGCAGUUGGUCAGCGCCUACAUAAAACAGCCUGCAGCUUUCACUGUCGUCAAAUGUGGGAGAACUGAGCCCCCAACCGGGGGGUCCGACUGCACCUCCAAGUAGCUAGAGUUGGAAUUGAGCUGGAUGAAAGGAUACCUUACCCAGUGGGUGGUGCGGCUGUGAGCUGGCAGUUACGGAGUGAUCUCUGUACCUUUUAGGGUCAUAGAAAUGUUGGCUAUCCUGUGAAAGCUGGCACAACAGUUGCCUUGUUUCUCUCCUGAGAAUGUAGAUUAAAACCCUAUUUUUCACUGUUGUUAGACCCAGUUCUUAAGGUUGGACUGAGGGAUGCAGACUGAGUUCAGCAAGUCCAGGGUCCUAGGGGAUGCUGUGGUGUAGAUCCUUUGGGGGGAUGUGGUAAUACAGAACUGUCAUUGCACUCUGCCCCACUGUCACCCUCCCACCUCUCCCCCAUGACGAAAGCUUAUAGCUUUGAACUUUUAGCUGAGGUGAUAUGCAGAAAGUGUCUACCACCUUCUUGUCCCCUCUACUUCCUAUCAGGUCUCCAUCCUGGCCACCAAGAGUGUCCCUUACAAACUACCAGGUCCUUCUCAGCAGUUACUGCACUCAGACCUAACAUCUCCUGCAGUGAUGAAGACCAUCUCAGCAAUCAUGAUGACUGUGUGGCCACAGGAAAUGGCCAUCAUCCUGAGGGAAGUCUACAUGUAUCAAUGUGGCUUAACAAGACAGAACCCAUACAUGACGUCCCGACAUUCCCAGUAUCUGGAAGGCAGAACCAUUCAGCAUCCAGACACUGGUGUGGUAAUGGUCCCUCAAAGGUAUGCAUGUAAAUCCCAGAAGCUGAGAAAAACACUGCUGCCUUGGCAUGGGGGAACUUUGCGAAUGUGGAUAAGGAUUAUUCUGGCUGAUUUAGAUGAGCCCGGUGUAGUCACCUUAGAGAGGAUGCAGUAAAUGAAGAAUCGGGAGAGCAGAGGACAGAAGCUGGAAUGGUGUGCAGAAACAGGAGCCAAGGGUGAGGGCAGCCUCUGGAAGCCAGAGAAGGCAAGCGAGGAGUCCCUUCCCUUGAAUCUCCAGGAGCAGCGCUGUGUUCCCCGUCCAUUCCACACUCACCCACUUCCCCACUGUGAGGUGCUGUUUGAAACCAUCCAAGCUUACAAAGGAAGCAGACACAGCCAGCAAGUAUUCAGGGACCAUUAGGAAACCCUCAGCUUUACUUCUACCCUUUCCCUUUCUUAUGCACAGGUGUAUGUGUGUAUGCAUGUUUAUGUGCACAUAUGUGUACAUGGUAUGUAGAGGUCAGAGGGUAACUUCACACAUCAUUCUGCAGAAUGCCGCCCAUCUCCUUUGAGAUGAGUCUCUCAUUGACUUGGACCUCACCAGUUAGGCUAGACUGGUUGGAUGGUGAGCCCAGACAUCCUCCGGUCUCUGCUCCCUUCACAAAUGCUCACCACCACACCCAGCACUUUUACAUAGGUUCUGAAGAUCGAACCUGGGUCCCUGUGCUUGCAGGACAAGCACGUUACUGACUGAGCCAUCCUCCUGCCUGGAUUCUCACUUGUCUCCAUACUUCUGGCCUCUGGGAAGGUCCCUCUUCUGCCACACA
Molecule: small RNA, 2073 nt
Filed under: Rattus norvegicus (Norway rat)
Lineage: Eukaryota; Metazoa; Chordata; Mammalia; Rodentia; Muridae
Description: uncharacterized LOC102554664
Source: RNAcentral